RNAcentral lists this ribosomal RNA (467 nucleotides) under uncultured bacterium. RNAcentral's name for it is "partial 16S ribosomal RNA". It matches the Rfam family "Bacterial small subunit ribosomal RNA", at positions 28 to 506 of the family's 1533-position model. The record is from RNAcentral.
GACGAACGCUGGCGGCGUGCUUAACACAUGCAAGUCGAACGGAAAGGCCCUGCUUUUGUGGGGUGCUCGAGUGGCGAACGGGUGAGUAACACGUGAGUAACCUGCCCUUGACUUUGGGAUAACUUCAGGAAACUGGGGCUAAUACCGGAUAGGAGCUCCUGCUGCAUGGUGGGGGUUGGAAAGUUUCGGCGGUUGGGGAUGGACUCGCGGCUUAUCAGCUUGUUGGUGGGGUAGUGGCUUACCAAGGCUUUGACGGGUAGCCGGCCUGAGAGGGUGACCGGCCACAUAGGGACGGAGAUACGGCCCAGACGCCUACGGGAGGCAGGAGUGGGGAAUAGUGCACAAUGGGCGGAAGCCGGAUGCAGGAACGCCGCGUGGGGGAUGACGGCCUUCGGGUUGUAAACCGCUUUCGCCUGUGACGAAGCGUGAGUGACGGUAAUGGGUAAAGAAGAACCGGCUAACUACGU